CUACGGGUGGCAGCAGUGAGGAAUAUUGCACAAUGGGGGGAACCCUGAUGCAGCAACGCCGCGUGGAGGAUGACGCAUUUCGGUGUGUAAACUCCUUUUAUAUGUCAAGAAAAUGACGGUAGCAUAUGAAUAAGCACCGGCUAACUCCGUGCCAGCAGCCGCGGUAAUACGGAGGGUGCAAGCGUUACUCGGAAUCACUGGGCGUAAAGGACGCGUAGGCGGGUUGGAAAGUCAGGUGUGAAAUCCUACAGCUUAACUGUAGAACUGCACUUGAAACUUCUAAUCUAGAGUAUGGGAGGGGGAGAUGGAGUUAGUGGUGGAGGGGUAAAAUCCGUAGAUAUCACUAGGAAUACCUAAAGCGAAGGCGAUCUCCUGGAACAUUACUGACGCUAAGGCGUGAAAGCGUGGGGAGCAAACAGGAUUAGAUACCCCAGUAGUC
RNAcentral lists this ribosomal RNA (439 nucleotides) under uncultured bacterium. Its description in RNAcentral is "partial 16S ribosomal RNA". It matches the Rfam family "Bacterial small subunit ribosomal RNA", at positions 339 to 795 of the family's 1533-position model. The record is from RNAcentral.